RNAcentral lists this ribosomal RNA (459 nucleotides) under uncultured bacterium. Its description in RNAcentral is "partial 16S ribosomal RNA". It matches the Rfam family "Bacterial small subunit ribosomal RNA", at positions 355 to 805 of the family's 1533-position model. The record is from RNAcentral.
UAGGGAAUCUUCGGCAAUGGACGAAAGUCUGACCGAGCAACGCCGCGUGAGUGAAGAAGGUUUUCGGAUCGUAAAACUCUGUUGGUAGAGAAGAACGUUGGUGAGAGUGGAAAGCUCAUCAAGUGACGGUAACUACCCAGAAAGGGACGGCUAACUACGUGCCAGCAGCCGCGGUAAUACGUAGGUCCCGAGCGUUGUCCGGAUUUAUUGGGCGUAAAGCGAGCGCAGGUGGUUUAUUAAGCCUGGUGUAAAAGGCAGUGGCUCAACCAUUGUAUGCAUUGGAAACUGGUAGACUUGAGUGCAGGAGAGGAGAGUGGAAUUCCAUGUGUAGCGGUGAAAUGCGUAGAUAUAUGGAGGAACACCGGUGGCGAAAGCGGCUCUCUGGCCUGUAACUGACACUGAGGCUCGAAAGCGUGGGGAGCAAACAGGAUUAGAUAGCCCUGGUAGUCCACGCCGUAA